GCUGCCGCGGGGAGGGCGCCAUCUUGGCCCCGCGGAGCGUGACUGUCUCGGCUGGAAGCGUGGGAGGCCGGAGGAUCAGUGACUGGCUGUCGUGGACAUGCUCGCUACACCUCCCGGGGCUUCGCUUCGUUUACUAUUAACUGUCGUUACUCCUCUGUAUCUCGUCAGCAGGGGCUGCCUGCGGUGUUAGAAUUACACGCCCCUGCCACCUGGGCACGGAGCCCAGUCUCCCGGCCCCUCAGUCAGUCCUUGGGUGUAGCUGGAGCAUUUAAGAAAAAUGAAAUAUAGGAACUCAGUGCAUGGUUUCCUGGGCCUUUUUAUUGAAUAUCAUUUCUAACAUGUACACAGUAUAACCCAGGCUUAGUGGAUUCCGGGACAGAAAAUGUUGGGAGCUGGGAUAGUCAAGUAAACAAGAAGAAAUGGUAAAGAGAUGCCAAGUGGGAGAGGAAACUACGGAUGCAGAGAGAGGAUCUGGGAUAAAGAGAACAAAGAUGCGUGGUCGACUUUAUGGAAACUCGUUUCUUUUUAAUAAGUGAGGUACAUGGUAGAAGACUUUGACAUGUUGAUUAUGUGACUGGGACCAAGGACAACAACUCGAGAAUUGAUUAAAACUACAGUUAUUCCUUGGUUGCCCCAAGGAUGAUCCUGGUUAGCCAAGUGAAGCAGUGGGAGUGGAGAAGGAACAAAGAAAUCUGUAAAGUAGUUGUGAUCAAUUAGUUGUAAACACCACUGCACUCAGACUCAGACCAGCUUGCAUUGAUUUUUAUGACCUAAUCUCAGAGGUUGUACAGCGUCACUUCCACUGUACUCUACUUGUUGAAGCAGCUACAAAAACACCACAUUUAAGUAAAGGGGACACUAAUUGGGAGGAGUGUUAGUCACAUUAUAAGAAGAGCAUGUGGAAUGAGAGAUUAAGUAGAGAUAUUAUUGCAGUCAUUUAAGGAAAAUAUAAUCUCCCAUAAUAUUAAUAUCUGUUUUCCUUUUGUAAAAAAAAAAUGUACCAUUUCAGGCUGAGCAUGUUGGCUCAUGCCUGUAAUCAUAACAUUUUGGGAGGCUGAGGCCAGUGGAUCACCUGAGGUCAGGAAUUCGAGACCAGCCUGGCCAACAUGGCGAAACCUCGUCUCUGUUAAAAAUACAAAAAUUAGCCGGGUGUGGUGGCAGUCACCUAUAAUCCCAGCUACUCGGAAGGCUGAGGCAGGAGAAUCGCUUGAACCCAGGGGCGGAGGUUGCAGGGAGCUGGUACCACCACUGCACUCCAGCCUGGAUGACAGAGUGAAACUCUGUCUCAAAAAAACAAAACAAAACAAAAACUAAAAUGUACCAUUUCAGAUUUUUUUUCUGAAAUUAAACCUGAAAAGGUCAAAAAACACAUAAAUUACAGUCCCUUUCAAUUACUUACCAGGUACAGGUAUUGUUUAAGUCUAUAGAAGUUCAGACUAUAGUAGUUCAAAAUACCUUAUACAGGGCAGCUUAUAAAAAGCAGAAGUUUAUUUCUCAUAGUUCUGAAGACUGGGAAGUCCGGGUUCAAGGUUCUGGCAGAUUCAGUGCCUGUCGAGGGACUGCUUUUUGGUUCACAGAUAGUGUCUUCUAGCUGUCUCCUCAUGUGGUAGAAGGGUGCCUUUUUUAUUAGUACCCCUAGUUUUAUUUAUUUUAUUUUAUUUUUUAGAGACAGGGGUUUUACUAUGUUGCCCAGGCUAGCCUCAAACUCCUGGGCUUGAGCGAUCCUCCCACCUCAGCCUCCCAAGUAGUUGGGACUACAGGCACAUGUUAAAACACCUGGUUCCUAUUAGUGGUUAUUUUAUAAAGGCACUAAUCUCAUCUGUGGCACCAGAGCCCUCAUGACCUAAUUACCUCCCAAAGAUCCCAUCCCCUAAUACCAUCAUAUUGGUGAUGAGGUUUCAAUACAUGAAUUUGGGGGGCUGGGGACACAAACAUUCAGACCACAGUAGUUGUUACAUUGAUAUGAGCUGGUAAGUGUUAACACCUGGCAGCAAUCAGAUACCCAGCCAUAGGUGAAGGCAGGUGAUUAGAAUUACCAGCCAACACAUUUAUGUGCUAGCUAAUUUUUAUUCAAAACUUUCUGAAGCUACAUUCAAAGCAGUUAAUGGGAAAUGGAGUAAAAAAAUAGGCAACCUCUCACUCUAGAUAAUGCUGUUAAAAGUAAUUUUUCCUCCCAGUCCUCUCCUGUAAUGAAUAGUAUAAGAAGGUAUCCUCCCAACGUAGAGGCACCUUGUGUUUCCAAAGUUUUAAUUAGUUGUCAUGAUAAUUUUAUGUGUCAACUUGACUGGGUUAAGGGAUGCCCAAAUAGGUAGUAAAACAUUAUUUCUGGGUGUAUCUGUGAAGGUGUUUCUGGAUAAAAUUAACAUUUGAAUGGGUAGACUGAGUAGAGCAGACUGUCCUCCCCCAUGUGGGUGGCCCUUAUCCAAAUGGUUGAAGGCUAAAAUAGAACAAAAAAGCUGAGUAGAGGGGAUUCCCUCUGCCUGACUACCUUCGAACUGGGGCGGUGGCUGUUUCCUGCCUUUGGACUUGAACUGAAACAUCAGCUCUUCCUGAGUCUUGAGCCUCCUGGCUUUUGAACUGAAACAACAGUAAUGGCUCUCCUGGUUCUCAGGCAUUUGGACUUUGACUAGAACUACACCAUCAGUUCUCCUGGGUCUCCAGCUUGCCAAUCUCCAGUUUGCCAACUGCGGAUCUUGGGACUUGUCAGCCUCCAUAACUCCAUGAACCAAUUUUUUGUAAUAAAUCUCUUUCUAUAUGUCUAUUUAUUCUGUUGGUUCUGUUUCUCUGGAGAACCCUAAUGCCAUACAUAAUUUUUAAAAAAAAAAAAACUCUUUCCUUCUCUGUUUUUCUCUUAUACUUUUGUGAGUGUAGUGAUAGGCCAAAUCACAUAAGUGCUAAUAAAUACUUUUCCAACAAGUACUUAACCUUGUUUAGGUGAUAAUCACUUGUCUUACCUUUGUGUUCAGAAGAAUUCCCAAUUCCAACUUUCUUAGGUAUUUAUUGAAAAGCAGGAGGAGGGUUCGGUGGAGGGAAGAAGAGAUGGAAUAGGAUUUAGGAUCAUUGCAAAGACCGAGGUAGUUGGGGAACAUAAAGGUUUUAUGUUGCCUUUCUUCUUCCUCCUUAUCAUUGAAGGUCUCCUCCUCCCUCCUGCUCCCCAUCACACACCCUCACAUGCCCCCAUGUGGCCUCUUACUAAACAGGGAGAGAAGAGAAGAGCUGGAGAAAUGGAAGUAUUUUGUAUUGGUAAGCCCAAGCAGCAGCAUGCUGAGAAAAGAGGAGUUUUUAUGGCCCCUGGCUACCCAUCUGGAAUAAACAGUUCUAUUUCCAAAUGGCUAUUUCUAUGCCAAUGUAAAAAGACAUAGAUAAUGCAGAUUAUUGUGUAGACAUUACUAAUAUUCAACAAUAUCUCGUUUUCCUCUUCUUCCAGGCAUACUGAAGACUAUAUUUCUCAGCUGCCUUUGCAGGUGGGCAGGGUCAUGUGACUAUUAUGACUAAUAAAAUGUGAGCAAAAGUGACGAGUCACUUGUGGGCUGAGGCAGUGAAAAGUUGUUUGUGAUUCUCAAAUCUCUCUUCUGUUCUGCCAUUGCAAUUGUGGAAGGAGCUUUAUGUUGAAACGGAAGAGCCAAAAGAUUGAAGUAGUCUAUGUCUCAGUCACCAUAUGGGAGGGCAAAUGCCCUGGAGAACCACCCAGACACACAACAAGUUUGUAUGAAUAAGAAAUAAAACUUUGUUGUAUAAGUAAUCAUGAUUUUUGGAGUUGCUUAUUAUCACAGCAUAACCCAGCCUAUCCUGGCAGACAUUGUUAUGAAAAUUGGGGCCUGCAUAUUUAAGAGAGCACAGAUUGUAUUUCUGGGGAAUGGAAGGUUUUAAGUCAGGACUUUAAAAAUAUUCUGUGUUUAUUAGUAGUGGCAAAAAGGAUAUCCUAGGUCCUUGUAAAAUGAAAGAUGGUAGCUGAUAAUGGAGCCUCUGGGCAUCUUUGAAUUAAACUAUUGGGCUUUUCAAGUCAAAAAAAGCAUAUUGGUCUCUGAUAAACUUAUGUUGUUGAAACAGCUUUUUGGAGAGUACUUAAGCUUGGGGUAGGCAAUAACCCAUUUCUCUUUUCUUGGAGACCUAGAUUGUCUCUUUAUACAGAUUUCUACUAACGCUCUCAAGAUAAAGAACCUAAUAUGGAGAGAUAAGGGAGUAUGAAUGUUGAUGUCAGUUGUACCUCUUGAAUAUUUUGUUGUUGUUGUUGUUGUUGUUAUUGGUUUUAAUGGUUAAAAUAUCUUUUCUCACGAUGAGGAAGAAAAUAGAGAAGACAAAAC
RNAcentral lists this long non-coding RNA (4304 nucleotides) under Homo sapiens (human). RNAcentral describes it as "HSALNT0218884". Lineage: Eukaryota; Metazoa; Chordata; Mammalia; Primates; Hominidae. The record is from RNAcentral.